UCUCUAAGAAGGCAUUAGCACUAGUACAAGACUUUCCUCUACUGGCGGUGUUUGACGUAAUGUGUAUGCAAUUACAACAUAUACAUAAUUGGAACAAAGUAAAUAUGUGAACUUUCUCAAUUUUUACUUGGCUCCUAUCUUUGCAUGAAUACGAGUGGCUAUGUAAGCUACCUAUUUGAACACCAUCCAUUCAAGCACCCCUAUCCGUGCAUACAAUAACCGUUUGGACAUAUACAUGGGCUGACAGUACAAUCCUAACCACCUCACCACAAAAUAGAACCAUUCUAUAAGUUCCAAUGAAAUUGCCUCACCAAUCCACUAACCUUGGUUCCUCUCAAAGGCCGACAUAUCUCCCUUGAAAUAUCUUCCUCGACUGAAGUCGCUUGAGUCAUCAAUUUCUACCGCAAUCUCUCCAAUGAAAAGAAACAACACCUUUUCCAGAAUUGUUCCA
This 451-nucleotide long non-coding RNA is filed under the name Physcomitrium patens. Its description in RNAcentral is "long non-coding RNA (PPAT_LNC014485)". The record is from RNAcentral. Lineage: Eukaryota; Viridiplantae; Streptophyta; Bryopsida; Funariales; Funariaceae.